GGAUAACUUACCCUUAGGACUGGGAUAACUCUGGGAAACUGGGGAUAAUACUGGAUAUUAGGCUAUGCCUGGAAUGGUUUGCCUUUGAAAUGUUUUUUUUCGCCUAAGGAUAGGUCUGCGGCUGAUUAGGUCGUUGGUGGGGUAAUGGCCCACCAAGCCGAUGAUCGGUACGGGUUGUGAGAGCAAGGGCCCGGAGAUGGAACCUGAGACAAGGUUCCAGACCCUACGGGGUGCAGCAGGCGCGAAACCUCCGCAAUGUACGAAAGUGCGACGGGGGGAUCCCAAGUGUUAUGCUUUUUUGUAUGACUUUUCAUUAGUGUAAAAAGCUUUUAGAAUAAGAGCUGGGCAAGACCGGUGCCAGCCGCCGCGGUAACACCGGCAGCUCGAGUGGUAGCUGUUUUUAUUGGGCCUAAAGCGUUCGUAGCCGGUUUGAUAAGUCUUUGGUGAAAGCUUGUAGCUUAACUAUAAGAAUUGCUGGAGAUACUAUUAGACUUGAAGUCGGGAGAGGUUAGAGGUACUACCGGGGUAGGGGUGAAAUCCUAUAAUCC
RNAcentral lists this ribosomal RNA (548 nucleotides) under uncultured archaeon. Its description in RNAcentral is "bacterial SSU rRNA". It matches the Rfam family "Archaeal small subunit ribosomal RNA", at positions 102 to 648 of the family's 1478-position model. The record is from RNAcentral.